UUCAACUGUUUGGUAACAACACACUGCUUUUCAAAACUGCUGUAAUAGUUUACAGUCCUCCGGCAGUUUAUGAUGGUUUUCAUCACUUCAAAACCUUGCCAGCACUUGGUACUUUCAGACUUUAAUUUUAUUCAUUUUGUGGGUGUGAAAUGGUAACACAAAUAUAAGUUAAUUUGCAUUUCUCCUGGUGUUAAUGACAUUAAGCAUCUUUUCCUAUUUUUAUAUCCCAUUCAGGUUUUCUAUUUUGUGGUGCCUGCUUUUUUUUCCCCCCUCAUUUUUCUCUUGGGCUUUUUGUUUUGUGAGAAUUCCUGUAACUGUAGUAUCUAAUCUCAUUAGGAAUUAUUCUAUCUCCUACAACUUCUAAGCGCAGUAACAGUGCAAGUCUGUGAUAAUCCUUCACAGGAAAAAAGAAAAAAAAAAGGGCACUGGAAGGUUUUGCUUUGCUGUUUCGUAUUAUUAAUUGGGAUAGUUUCAACUCCCACAAAGAGAAAAGCAAGGCAUGAGCACUCACCCAUGCUUAUUGACUUCCUAGGCUCUAAGUGCAGUGGGUAUUAACUGAGCGGAUUGACUACAAGAUUGCAGCCUUCUCUCGCCUUGCACUUCAUCACUCCAAACGAUGUCAUUCCCAAUGCAGGACUGACAGGCACUCAUGUCCAGCCUCGGCUCUAUAUCCCUAAUCCAUUAGUAUUGGCUCGAGGUCAGCUUUUUGAAGACAAGAUCAAUUCUAAUACAGUUACAUUGACUUCUUUGUCUAUCAGGGAGUAGAUAGAAAGUUGAGAGGGAUCAAUAAAUUCCAAACAACAAAUCAGAAAAUACAUAGCAUAUAGAAGCCAGUUAGCAUGCAUGGAUUUCUCUGUGCUAGUCAUUGAUUAAAAUAUAGGUAGUCCAGAAAUAAUGAGUUUGGAUCCAUACCUGAAAGCCAAAAUGGAAAUCAACUGUUCAAGCUACGUCUUUAGCCGAAUAGAAAAUAGGAAAUGACACAAUCCUUGGCCUUGGGAUCAAAAUCUUACAUUUUCUGGGUCAGUGUUACCAUUUCAGACCCAGUUUGUGUCUUUUUAUAAAGUGUUUUUCUCAGGCUAGUCUAAUUUCCUUGUACAGGGGAGUAUAUGGUCCUUUGUACAUAUUUUCCAGACUUCACAAAUUAUUGCCCUCUACCUGUCAACUCCACCAUCAUCAUAAAUUUCCUUCCUAUCUCUUUUCUGCCUAUAAAAACCAUCUUCAACCCAAGGCCCUGCCCAAAUCUGCAUCUUCUAUGAAGUCUUUCUUCAACUUCAUUGCUCUGAAUAGACACUCAAGCUGUCAAAAUCAUGUAGCACUUCUUAUCAUUAGCACUAAUUUGGAGCACGUCUGCCUUAUUAUUCCUGCCUUGCAUGGUUAGUUUUCUAUCUUUGUUUGUUACCCACCAAAAUAAGGACAUCUGAAAGUCUGGGACUGUGUCUGAGGUAUUGAUGUACAUCUGACACACAUAGAAUAUUGCCUGAAUAAAACUACAUGCCUAACUAAAACUCAUUCAUUCAUAUAGACAUGAGUUACUCUCAUACCUCUCAGUGACAACAUGUUAAUUAAUGUUGACCAAUCUCCUCCACUAAGAUCCUGCUCUCCUUUUAACCUGAGGAGACAAGCCUGGCAAUUUCUAUAUGUCUGUUCUGUUCUUCUUCCACCCAUCCAGACUGUAGUUUUAUCUUUUAAGGUGAGUAUUCUCUAUUAAACAAAGAGUAAUCAAGCUAAAAUAGCCUAUGUAGUCCUGCUGAAAUGUCUGACCUAACAAGCACCCUAUUUCUUCCUAAAGUCUAGUGACACAUCCUGGUAUCUGAGUUUCUUAAAUAAGAAACGCUAGUUUCUUAUUUCUAAACCUCAUUACAGAUAUCCUAAACCCUUCUAAAGGUAAGACAAUCAAGUUCUUGUAGAAUCUUGAGCUGUCUCUGAGUCUGACAACUUAUGGAGAUGAUCAUUAUUGUAAUAGUAAACAACUUCUGUAAAAAAAAAGCUUCAUAUAAUGCUUACUAUACACUAGGUACAAUUCCUAGUGCUUUAAAAAUAUUAACUCAUUGAAUUUUCAUUAAGAACUCCAUUAGGCAGGUACUAGUACUGUGCUGAAUAUUCCCAUCUCCCCCAUUCUUCACCUGUUUCAGCGCCCCCUGGAGCCUGACCUCAUCAACCAGUCUUCUUGGUUCUCUGACUCAUCAUUGAGUUCAGCCUGUAGGAGACACCAACAGUAUAUAGAGGAGAGAAAAGUCAAUAUUUUACUUCAUUAGCUGCCUUUCUGCCAGCUGCACUUUGACAAUACAUACUUUUCUCUGCCAAAGUCCUCAAUUCCAUAGCUAGCCCACUCCUACAGUUACAACUCUCCUGAGAUUCUAUUCACUACCCUCUCCCCUUGCCUCUUUAGACCUAGGCAGGCUAAGAUGUUUUUAUUAUCAAAGUACUUUACUGUUCGUUAUUAGUUUUUCUUAAGCCUGCUCACGAGUUUGUGAAUAUUCCUUUUACUAAAAUCUCUUACAUUGCCCCUUUUUAGUAUACUGUCUGACUGUCUGAACCCCAAUCAUUACAAGACAGGAAACUGAGGCACAACAAUAUUAAGUGCCUUGCUUAAGAUUAUACAACUAGUGAGUCACAGAGUAGCGUUCAGAUCCUGGCUGUGUGGUUCCACAAUAUGUUCUCUUAACAGUACACUAUGUUGUCUCUGACUCUGUGUGUCUCCAAAUGUAGCCAAACAACUGUCUUUCAACUCUGAGAUAGGCCUCCGAUUUCUCCUUGCCAGCCGAAGUCAAGAGUAAAGUAACGGCUUCUUCCUUUGCCAGGAGAGAAAGAUCAUCAGAUCUAUUUUAGAAAGAAACGUGGGCAGAGUUAACCAAGAAAAAGGAAAGUUUCCCUUUGGGCAGUGGUUUUCUUAAAAUCUUCUGGGUUCUACCGCUACCUGUUUUGCAUUUAAACAGGAGAGAUAGGAACAAAUUUAAGAAUAAUUAAGCAGAGAACAGAAUUAAAAACAAGAGACAAGUGAGUAAUAGCUAGAGCUGAAAGUCAAAAUCCCAACUGGACACGUCAAAGGCUCAACCAGUCCUUAGUUCAAACUAAAACCAAUAGUGAGCUUGAAUUUUAAUCUAGAAAGGGACUUUGGAAAGGAAACUCCCAUAAAAUUACUCAAGGUGGCUGAUGAGACAUUUCAUUGAAAUCCUACAAUAAAUCCCUCAAAUUCUACAGUUAAAUUACAAGGAACCACUGCAAAUCAGUUGCAAUGAUUCUUCCUGCAAUUCACCGACAAGACAAUAUUGUUUUAAUGCCACUAUGUAUUAAAUGCCUACUCUAGGUGAAGAACUUUAUCCACUUGCAUAUCAUUGUUAAAUUUCUCACAGCUUUGAAAAGUAUUUAAAAUUAGCCCCAUUUAUCAGGUAGGCAGUGGAGGAUCUACUUCUUAAAUUAUUUUCUUAAAAUCAAAAUAUGAGCACAGAACCAGGAUUCAAAAAUCAAGAAUGACCUUAAAUAUUGUGUGAUGGGUGUGUGUGUUAAUUAUUAUUAUACUCACAGAUGUAGAAGAACACAAUCAUUCCAAAUCUGAUGCCUUGGGAAAGAUGAAAACCACCGUGAAUUCUACUUAAGCUUUUUCCCAGUUCUACAGUACACGUGUCAUUUUGCCUGACUUUUGAGAUUAUGCAAAUGCAAUAAAAUGAAUUUUUUAUAGUUGCCUGAAAACAACCACAAGCGAGGUAAUAUUCAGCGUCACAGAUUUCCUCUUAUUCGCAUUACAACCUUUCAAGGUCAGCAUUCCUAUCUCAAAUUUUCAGAGAAGGAAAUAGUCACAGCAAGAUUAAGAACAAGACAGAUGGUAACAGAAGUCUAAAAGCCUGCGACAUCUUGAGUAAAAAGAAGAAAUGUAACUCCAAAACACCUCAGAAGACAGAAGAUUGGAAUGUAAUGUUUUUGUAUCCUGAAGGAAGAAGAAAUGGAAGUUGAGGUGUUCUUGAAGGUUUUACUAAAGUAGCAAUCAGCUGAGUGAAGUAAUCAUAUCUCCCUGAAGGCCAUAAACACAGCCACCUGCGCCUCUUCUGUUUUGUGUUCCUCUUUUUAACUCCAGUGUCACAUGGAGAGGGGAUACAGAGCCUGAAAAGUUGCCUGCAUGUUCCAAUCAGCCAAGAAGAUGUCAUAGAGCAUUUUUUCUAUAGCCUGUUUAAGAAGGGCUGAGAAAAGGACAGGAGAAGAAACUGGGUGCAGAAUUGGUUUUUCCCUCUUCUUCCUACCUGAGCCAUCCAGACAGCACAGCUGCCCCACAGGACAGAGGCUGCUGCCACAGAGCCUGUUCUUUGGAUUCUGGAAGACACGGUGUAGAAUGUAAUGCUAGGGGUUUGCAAGAAUAUUACUGACAUCUUCCCAAAUGAAACCUUCGCCCUUUAUUUUAAUCAUUGUUGCCUCUGUAUCUGAAGCAUCUAGAAGAAUGAACGGUACGGAGCAGACACUCAAGCAGUAUUGGCUGAAUAAAUAAUUGACUGACGCCUUAUCAAAUCAAUACCUACUAACUUUAGAAAUUUUGGAAAAUACAUGUGUGCAUGCACAUGUGCAAUAUUACCAUCCUGAUUAUCACCGUUAACAUUUCAGCGAAAUAUUUUUGGAAGAUUCCAUACUAACGUUGUUGAAUCUCCUAAAGAGAUCAUGAUGAUUGAAUCCUGGAAAAGUUAAUCAAGGCAGUCAAGAGGGCCAGGGACAGGCAAAAAACUGAUUUGAAAGAGAAGCUGAGAGGAAACUUUAGGAUGAAUCUUUUCAAAUAAGUUCAAGCAGGCCAAUAGAAUCAUUUACUCCAGAAAAUCUCACUAAGGUGCCUUCAGGAACACAGUAUGAAGGAAAAGAAGAUUGUGUCUGACUGUAUGAAAAAAAAAAAGCUAUAGGUCUUGAAGUUUCUGUUUAUGGCAGAUAAUAUAUAGCACUUGACCUCUCUCACCCUGUAAUCUAUGAAUCUCUAUUAUUUCCCUUGAUAUGUACCAGCCUCAAAUUUGAUUCUACUUUGACUGGCAGUGAGAGUUGUUCACACUCCAAUAUUUACAGAAAACAUCAAUUUCCAGAAGCCUAGAUAUUUAUGAAUUAUAUUAGAAUUAUUUGUGUGAUAUACAGCAAAUGUAUUGCUGACCUAGUUAGAAUUCUUUCAAAAGUGCUUUGUUAGUGCAUUUGAGAAGCUUAAUGUGCAGGGUGGCCUGUUUAGAGUAGGUUCCAAUUAAUUCAUCAUGUCCAGCUAUAGUGACAGCUACUUUAAGUUUUGGGCCAAGAACAAGUUUAUUCAAUCCCAAAUCUGUACAUCCAUUCUGCCUAGAAGGUAACCUCAUUGCACGUCACCUAGCAGUGGCCACAACCCCCUGGGCUGAGCAGAUUUCUUCCCCUUCUCCAACAACCUCCCUUUGCUCAGCACAUGUCUGUAUUCUCAUUCCUGAUCAUCGCUGAUCUACUCGAAACCUUAUUUCAAAGUCCCUAAUCCUGGCCAGGAGUGAUGGCUUAUGCCUGUAAUCCCAGCAUUUUGGGAGGCCGAGGUGAACAGAUCACUUGAGGCCAGGAGUUCGAGACCAGCCUGGCCAACAUGGUGAAAACCCGUCUCUACUAAAAAUACAAAAAUUAGCCAGGCAUUAUGGUACAUACCUGUAAUCCCAGCUACUUGAGAGGUUGAGGCAGGUGAAUUGCUUGAACCCGAGAAGUGGAGGUUACGGUGAGCAGAGAUCAUGCCACUGCACUCUAGCCUGGGCAACAGAGCAAAACUCUGUCUCAAAAAACAAACAAACAAAAACAAAAACAAAACAACCUGAUAUUUUCUUUGUUCAUUAUGAUCCCAUCCAUUUUCCAAUUAGGGAGUUUCCAAAAUUAUAACUUCUCAAAUUAUUGUGCUUUGACUAACCAGUAAAUAAAUCUCUAAGCAAAAGAAUGGCUUAAGAAAAUAUGUGUGCUAGGACAGGAAAGUGCCUGGCCACAGAGCCAAAGCUCAAAAAUAUUAAAACAAUAAAGAAGAAAAAUAGAAGAUCAAAUCCACAUCAGUAAUUCAUUCAACAAAUAUUAAUUGAAGGCUUACUAUAUGCCAGAUACUUGGGUCAGGGCUGAUGGUGAGCAAAACAGAUGGAAUCCCUGCUCUGAGGAAUCUCACAGUCUACGGUGGACAGAAAUAUCAGUCAAGUAACUGAAAGAGAAAUGUAAAAUGGCAAAAUGUACAACAGUUUAGAUGUGUUACUAGUAUGACAGUAUUUGAUUAUAAGAUGUGAUAUAGCCAUAAAAUAUUGUUAAAGGAGUAGCAUGUAUUAAGGCUAUGGGAAGAGGGGAGCAGCAUUGUGUGUUUGAACAAAGGAAGGAAGGCUGGUGUGGUUGGAACUGAGAGAGAUUAGCUUAGAGAGGAAAAUAGGGACCAGACAAUUCUGGGGCUUUUAAGACAUGUUCAACUACAUGCACAGGGAAGCGGAUUUACAUAGGAUCUCAAACUGACAUUUAGUCACAUGAUUUGCCUGCACAAUUUGUCCAUACAUAGUAUUGAUACUUCUUUUAUGUUAGAGAUGCUGAUGAAAGGAAAUGAUUGAAUGGAAAUGGGGUGAGCUAGUCUGUGUAUUGAACUUCAACACAAGGUCCUGAUAUGAGUGCUUCAAACCCAAUACCUUGCAUUCUUCUUCCCACCUGGUUUCUUUUUAUUUUUAAAUUUCAACUUUUAUUUUAGAUACAGCAGGCCCACGUGCAGGCUCAUUGCAUGGGUAUAUUGUGUGAUGCUGAGGUAUAGUGUACUCAUCCUAUCACUCAGUUAAUGAGUAUAAUACCCAUUAGGUAGUUUAGCAAUACAAUCCCACCUCCCUUCUGCCCCCUCAGUAGUCCCCAGUGUCUAUUGUUCCAAUAGUUAUGUCCAUGUGUGCUCAGUAUUUAGCCCCCACUUACAAGUGAGAACAUGCAGUGCUUGGUUUUCUGUUCUUGCGUUAAUUCAGUUAGGAUAAUGCCCUCCAGCUGCAUCCAUGUUGCCGCAAAGGACAUGAUCUCAUUCUUUUAUGGCUGCAUAGUAUUCCACGGUGUAUAUGUACCACAUUUUCUUUAAAAAAAAAAAUAGUUUUCUGUGAGUGAGUUUAGCAUGCAGUGAUGCACUGCAUCAUCUUUUGUUUGUGGUUGCAACAACGUGUCGCUGUACGCUGUCCUGUGGCGUUAGCUAGAGGUGGCCCCUUGAAAUUACUUAUGUCUCCCAGUUGAUAAUCACAGUAGAAUUAGCUGGAGACAUUCACAGAGAUGUCCUGUCACAUAUCUGAUUUUCAGGAGGUCUAGAGUUACUGUGGAGGAAAACAGAUUUGAAACUUGGUUUUGACUCAUGUCUGGAAAAGUAUAGAAAAAAUGCAAUUGGCAGAAUUCAGAUUUUAAAUGUGGCAAGAGCCUGAGGGUAUUAGAAUUCAAAAUUUUGGAGAGAGAGGGUGCUAUAGUAAAGCACAAAUACUGCAUCUUUUAGAGGCCCAUCCACUCUGCUUGAGACUCACACUUCAAAGAGGGGUUUGUGGAGGGUAUUCUCCAUUCGACAGAAAGGUGGAGCUGGAGAAACGUGAGAAAUAAAGCAGAUUAAGUCAAGGGGUCUUAAAAGUUAGGAAAGUAGGCUGGGCACAGUGGCUCAAGCCUGUAAUCCAGUGCUUUGAGAGCCCAAGGCAGGGGAAUUGCAAGGUCAGGAGUUCGAGACCAGUCUGACCAACAUGGUGAAACCCCAUCUCUACUAAAAAUACAAAAAUUAGCUGGGCGUGGUGGUGCGCACCUGUAAUCCCAGCCACUCAGGAGGCUGAGGCAGGAGAAUCACUUGGACACUGGAGGCAGAUGUUGCAGUGAGCUGAGAUUGUACCACUGCACUCCAGCCUGGGCAACAGAGUGAGACUCUGUCUCAAAAAAGAAAAAAAAAAAGAGCAAAAGAGUUAGGAAAGUAAUGAGGUUGGCCCAGAAGGACUAGAGAGACCUCAGCAGACAGAUCUCUGCAGACAGACAGACUCCCACAGCAAGGGAGGAAUGCCAGUGGGAGGGGAAGAAGGAGCAGGACUGAAGGCACAGACUAGAGCUUGGAGGACAAGACAAGGAAACCUGUCCUGUGUUCCUCUGGGUACUCCAAGGUACAUGAUCUGCUAUGUGAGCAUAGAAGCUGUUGAUCUAGUAUAUGCAGGAAAAAGUGGACAGUUGUCAUCCUCAGAACUUACCUGCUAGUGGGAUUUAUGGGACAACCCAGUUCUGUUGUGCUAGACUAUCUAGCUCUAUGCUUGAAACAUACAUAGAUAAUAUUGUUCAUGUGUGCGUAUAUGUGUGUGCAUGUACGUGUGUGUGUGUGCAUGGUCAGUUGUACCAGCAAGAGUAAUAUAAUGGUUCAAAGAUCCUCAUCUUGGAAAAUGCCUCAUGCUAUGAAGUUGAAUACUGCAUAUCACCAGAUAUCAAAGUCCCAUAAGAGGGUAAAAUCACCUUUAAAUUGAGAACUGAAGUUAUAUUUGUGGGCCCUCUUCUAUCUCCUUGUGAGACAUCCUUGUGCUAAUCUGGAUGCGAAACUUGCGUGAUAGGAGAAGACACGCUGAACCGGAAGGUCUGUGCAAUGUGGAAGGAGGUGUGCUUUUCAUGUCUCUUAUACUCAUUGAACCAUGAGUGCAAAAUGGCUUCACCUGUGCCACAGUACUUGGCGGGAUCAUGAUGUCAAUUAGGUUUCAUGAGACUCUGUAAAGCAAAUUUGUUUAUUUGCUCACUGAGUUAUCCAAAGACAAAAGGAGGACUGUGCCUCCAGCACAAUAAUUAAUUAUAAAGUCAUCACACAUAUUUCAUUAAUGUUGGCUGGCUUCUCAGAAGUCCCUCUCAGAGGGCAGGGGCCAUGUGUAAGUAUAACUCUAUUUAGCAUCUACUAAAAAGACACUUUGAUUGGAAUCUGUGUGAUCAUAAACUUCUUUACUAGGUUGUGUGUUCCUUGAAGGAAAGGAUUUUAUCUUUCAUUUAUUCAAUAAAUAUUUAUAACUUUAUAAAGUAGUAAAAAAUACCAAAAAUAUCUUCAUGCAGCUUAUGUUCUGUUUUUUAAAAUUUAAUUAUUUUUAAUUGGUAAAUAAUAAUUAUAUAUAUUUAUGGUGUGCGAUUUGUUAUAUGUAUAUAAUUGCAGAAUGAUUAAAUCAAGCAAUUAAAAUAUUCAUCACCUCACAUAUUUAUCAUUUCUUUGUGGUAAGAAUGUUUAAACCUAGAAGGACCCUAUAAAAUUGAACUUUAUACUCUUUCACCAGCAUCUCCCCUUUACCUAUUCACCUGUCCCCAGCUCCCCAGCCUGUGAUAAUGACCACUCCACUCGUUACUUCUACUGAGUUUGACUAUUUUAGAUUCCACAUAUAAGUAAGAUGAUGCAGUAUUUGUCUUUGUCUUAUUUCAUUUAAUGUAAUGUCCUCUAGAUUCAUCCAUGUUGUCACAAUGACAGAAUUUCCCUCAUUUUUAAGGUUGAAUUGUAUUCCAUUUGUGUAUAUAUACCACAUUUUCUUUUUUUAUUCAUCUUUUUCCUGAACACUUGGGUUGCUUCCAUAUCUGUGCUAUUGUGAAUAAUGAUGCGAUAAACAUGAGAGUUCACGUAUCUCCUAGACACAGCAAUUUCAAUUCCUUUGGUUUUCUACCCAGAAGUGGGAUUGCUGAAUCACAUGGUAAUUCCAUUUUUAAUUUUCUGAGGAGCUUUCAUACUAUGGCUCUGUAAUAACUAUACUAAUUUAUAUUCCCACCAAUAGUGUCCAAGGACUCCCUUUUCUCCACAUCUUGCCAAUACUUAUCUUUCAUCAUCUUGGUAAUAGCUCUUCUAACAGGGAAUAUUGUGGUUUCAAUUUGCAUUUCCCUGAUAAUUAGUAAUGUUGAGCCUUUUUUCACGUAUCUGUUGGUGAUAUGUAUGUCCCUUUUUUUGAAAUAUCUAUUCAGGUCUUUUCACCCACUUUUUUAAUCAGGUCAUUUGGGGGUUUUUUGCUAUUAAAUUCCAUAUAGAUUUGGAUAUUGAUUCCUAAUCAGAUGCAUUGUUUGCAAAUAUUUUCUCACAUGCUGUGGGUUGUCUUUUCACUCUGUUGUUUCCUUUUCAGAAACUUUUAAAUAUGAUGUAAUCAUCCCAUUUGUCUAUUUCUGCCUUUAUGGCCUGCACUUUUGGGGUAGUAUCCAAUAAUUCAUUGCUCAGACCAAUAUCAUGGAGCUUUCCUCUUUGUUUUCUUCUAGUAGUUUUAUAGUUUCAGGUCUUAUACAUCGAGUAUUUCUCUAACACUUCUAUAAUGCUGACUGUAUUCCAAGCGCAGGUCAAAGCUCUUGACAUAUAUUAACAACUUAAAGCAACAACCCAAUGAGGCAGGUACUAGCCUAUUUCUAUCUUAUAUACUGAAGGAGACUAAAGCAGAAGCAGUUUAAGUGUUGUCCAAGGGUGCACAACUAGUAAGUGGUGGUGCUGGAAUUUGUACCCUGGCAGUUUGGCUUCAAAGUCUACCUGUGUUUUCACUUUAUUAUCUCUUUCCUUUUAAAUUACCUUUUUAUUACUAGUGCCUAGCAUAGCUCUCUGCAAAGAAUAAAUGAGUGCUAAUUGAAUAAGCCAAUGAAACAAUGACAUUUAUCAUGCUAAUGGUGAUGAUGAUGAAAAGAUACUGAUAAUAAUGAUUUAUAUUAAUUGAGUUGCCACCCAUACUAUGUUUCAUAAUUUGUAAGCACCAUAUCAUGAGAUCUUCUUUUUUUUUUAAUUACUAUACUUUAAGUUCUGGGAUACAUGUGCAGAACGUGCAGGUUUGUUACAUAGGUAUACAUGUGCCUUGGUGGUUUGCUGCACCCACCAACCCGUCAUCUAGGUUUUAAGCCCCGCAUGUAUUAGGUAUUUGUCCUAAUUCUCUCCCUCCCCUUGCCCCCAACCCCGCAACAGGUGCUGGUGUGUGAUGUUCCCCUCCCUGUGUCCAUACGUUCUCAUUGUUCAACUUCCACUUAUGAGUGAGAACAUGCAGUGUUUGGUUUUCUGUUCCUUUGUUAGUUUGCUGAGAAUGAUGGUUUCCAGCUUCAUCUAUGUCCCUGCAGAGGACAUGAACUCAUUCUUUUUUAUGGCUGCAUGGAAUUCUAUAGUGUAUAUGUGCCACAUUUUCUUCAUCCAGUCUAUCAUUGAUGGGCAUUUGGGUUGGUUCCAAGUCUUUGCGAUUGUGAAUAGUGCUGCAAUAAACAUACGUGUGUAUAUGUCUUUAAAGGAGAACGAUUUAUAA
RNAcentral lists this long non-coding RNA (11177 nucleotides) under Homo sapiens (human). RNAcentral's name for it is "HSALNT0028643". The record is from RNAcentral. Lineage: Eukaryota; Metazoa; Chordata; Mammalia; Primates; Hominidae.